RNAcentral lists this ribosomal RNA (1061 nucleotides) under Streptomyces lannensis. Its description in RNAcentral is "bacterial SSU rRNA". It matches the Rfam family "Bacterial small subunit ribosomal RNA", at positions 37 to 1111 of the family's 1533-position model. Lineage: Bacteria; Bacillati; Actinomycetota; Actinomycetes; Kitasatosporales; Streptomycetaceae. The record is from RNAcentral.
UAUAAGGGGAACCAAUUACCAUGCAAGUCGAACGAUGAAGCCCUUCGGGGUGGAUUAGUGGCGAACGGGUGAGUAACACGUGGGCAAUCUGCCCUGCACUCUGGGACAAGCCCUGGAAACGGGGUCUAAUACCGGAUAUGAGUCUCCUGGGCAUCUGGGAGGCUGGAAAGCUCCGGCGGUGCAGGAUGAGCCCGCGGCCUAUCAGCUUGUUGGUGAGGUAACGGCUCACCAAGGCGACGACGGGUAGCCGGCCUGAGAGGGCGACCGGCCACACUGGGACUGAGACACGGCCCAGACUCCUACGGGAGGCAGCAGUGGGGAAUAUUGCACAAUGGGCGCAAGCCUGAUGCAGCGACGCCGCGUGAGGGAUGACGGCCUUCGGGUUGUAAACCUCUUUCAGCAGGGAAGAAGCGCAAGUGACGGUACCUGCAGAAGAAGCGCCGGCUAACUACGUGCCAGCAGCCGCGGUAAUACGUAGGGCGCAAGCGUUGUCCGGAAUUAUUGGGCGUAAAGAGCUCGUAGGCGGCUUGUCGCGUCGGUUGUGAAAGCCCGGGGCUUAACCCCGGGUCUGCAGUCGAUACGGGCAGGCUAGAGUUCGGUAGGGGAGAUCGGAAUUCCUGGUGUAGCGGUGAAAUGCGCAGAUAUCAGGAGGAACACCGGUGGCGAAGGCGGAUCUCUGGGCCGAUACUGACGCUGAGGAGCGAAAGCGUGGGGAGCGAACAGGAUUAGAUACCCUGGUAGUCCACGCCGUAAACGGUGGGCACUAGGUGUGGGCCACAUUCCACGUGGUCCGUGCCGCAGCUAACGCAUUAAGUGCCCCGCCUGGGGAGUACGGCCGCAAGGCUAAUACUCAAAGGAAUUGACGGGGGCCCGCACAAGCGGCGGAGCAUGUGGCUUAAUUCGACGCAACGCGAAGAACCUUACAGAGGCUUGACUUACACCGGAAACAUCCAGAGAUGGGUGCCCCCUUGUGGUCGGUGUACAGGUGGUGCAUGGCUGUCGUCAGCUCGUGUCCUGAGAUGUUGGGGUUAAUUCCCGCAACANANUGCAACCCUUGUUCC